GACGAACGCUGGCGGCGUGCUUAACACAUGCAAGUCGAACGGUAAGGCCCUUCGGGGUACACGAGUGGCGAACGGGUGAGUAACACGUGGGUGAUCUGCCCUGCACUUCGGGAUAAGCCUGGGAAACUGGGUCUAAUACCGGAUAGGACUCCUGCCUGCAUGGGUGGGGGUGUAAAGCUUUUGCGGUGUGGGAUGGGCCCGCGGCCUAUGGGCGUUGUGGUGGGGUGAUGGCCUACCAAGGCGACGACGGGUAGCCGGCCUGAGAGGGUGACCGGCCACACUGGGACUGAGAUACGGCCCAGACUCCUACGGGAGGCAGCAGUGGGGAAUAUUGCACAAUGGGCGCAAGCCUGAUGCAGCGACGCCGCGUGAGGGAUGACGGCCUUCGGGUUGUAAACCUCUUUCAGCACAGACGAAGCGCAAGUGACGGUAUGUGCAGAAGGAGGACCGGCCAACUACGUGCCAGCCGCCGCUGUAA
RNAcentral lists this ribosomal RNA (478 nucleotides) under uncultured bacterium. Its description in RNAcentral is "partial 16S ribosomal RNA". It matches the Rfam family "Bacterial small subunit ribosomal RNA", at positions 28 to 523 of the family's 1533-position model. The record is from RNAcentral.